CGUAGGUUUCAUCAUGAAGGGUAUUAUCUAUCUCAGCUUCUAGGAUUCUAUCUAGGAUCACUCUAGCUUCAUCAGUAGGGAUACAAAAGAAAGAACCUCUAGACAUUGUAUGUAGCAUUUGUUUGUGAUUUUUCUGAAGACCUCGAAAAAAGUGAAAUAAAAGAAUAGGGUCUUCAAGAUUAAGGUUUGGACCAAAUUCUAAAAGAUCAG
This 210-nucleotide long non-coding RNA is filed under the name Sorghum bicolor (sorghum). Its description in RNAcentral is "long non-coding RNA (SBIC_LNC012812)". Lineage: Eukaryota; Viridiplantae; Streptophyta; Magnoliopsida; Poales; Poaceae. The record is from RNAcentral.